GCAAUGAAAGAGUUGUUUUAGGGAUGAACAAGUCCCUGAUAAUUGAAUCCAUUCAUCACUUUGUCAGCAUCACAAUGUUUAUGUUUUGCUGAUCAUUAUCGGAUGGUACAAUUUUGAAUUGUUUUAAGAAGUUGCUGUGUUUUGCUCAACUGUUUUGUUAUGUCAAUGAUGAUAGAUCCUAAGGCUUGUUUCUCUAAAAACGUUACGCAGUGGCCGCCUAAGUGCUUUCGCCUUCGCCAGGCUUGAGAGUAUGCUGCUUCUAUCCUUCCUUGGAUGUCUGAGUCUUUUUAACUAAGUUUAAGUUUUAGCUAUGUUAGAUUUGGUUCUUGUUUGAUGAUGAAUAUCUGUGUAAUCGUCUUAGAACUAGUGUUCAAUUGCUUUUCUAUCCUUCAUGAACUUCUUGUCUUUUGCCUAUGAUGAUAGAUCCUAAGGCUUGUUUCUCAAAGCAUUCGCAGUGGCCGACUAAGUGCUUUCGCCUUCGCCAUGCUUGAGAGUAUAUGCUGCUUUUAUCCUUCCUUGGAUGUCUGAGUCCUUUUUUGCUAGUAUAUUUUAGUAUUUCCCCUUUUGCUUCUUUUUUUGAUUGUUCAUAUAUCUUUGAAUUCAAAUUGUAUCCUAUUUAAAGUAGGUGUUAGAUACUGUCUUUUAUGUUACCACACUAGUAAUUGUACUUGUCACUUGGUGUUACCUUUUAAUUAGUUCCACUCAAUUUUUUUUUCUUUGAGUUUGGCUUUGAUGUUAACCUGAUACUAUAUCAUUGUCAUAGAUGGUUGGAUUUAAGCUUUUAUAAAUAUUUGAUUCGUGUUCCUAGUCUAGUUUGAGCUUCCUAUACAUCAUCUACUCUUCGCUACUCAGGUUCCUCACAUGGUUUUAGCAAUGGUGUUUCUCUAUCAAGUUUGAGCUGUCCUGAUCAAUUUAUUGUCCUUUUAGUGCAUUUUAUUGUUUUGUAUAUGGUAUUAGCACAUCUAUGACU
This 970-nucleotide long non-coding RNA is filed under the name Solanum tuberosum (potato). RNAcentral describes it as "long non-coding RNA (STUB_LNC005059)". The stretch from base 13 to 113 matches the Rfam family "Small nucleolar RNA snoR99". The record is from RNAcentral. Lineage: Eukaryota; Viridiplantae; Streptophyta; Magnoliopsida; Solanales; Solanaceae.